CUGGCUCAGGAUAAACGCUGGCGGCGUGCUUAACACAUGCAAGUCGAACGGAGUGGUUCUCCCGAGGAUUGAUAGUGCUUGCACUUGAUUGACUCAUUGAAUCACUUAGUGGCGGACGGGUGGGUAACGCGUGGGAAACCUGCCCUAUACUGGGGGAUAGCGGUUGGAAACGACUGAUAAUACCGCAUAAGCGCACAGGACCGCAUGGUCUAGUGUGAAAAACUCCGGUGGUAUAGGAUGGUCCCGCGUCUGAUUAGCUAGUUGGUGAGGUAACGGCCCACCAAGGCGACGAUCAGUAGCCGGCCUGAGAGGGUGUACGGCCACAUUGGGACUGAGACACGGCCCAAACUCCUACGGGAGGCAGCAGUGGGGAAUAUUGGACAAUGGGGGAAACCCUGAUCCAAGCGACGCCGCGCGAACGAUGAAGUAUUUCGGUAUGUAAAGUUCUAUCAGCAGGGAAGAUAAUGACGGUACCUGACUAAGAAGCACCGGCUAAAUACGUGCCAGCCGCCGC
Molecule: ribosomal RNA, 514 nt
Filed under: uncultured bacterium
Lineage: Bacteria
Description: bacterial SSU rRNA
Rfam family: Bacterial small subunit ribosomal RNA
Source: RNAcentral